Molecule: non-coding RNA, 72 nt
Organism: Xenopus tropicalis (tropical clawed frog)
Lineage: Eukaryota; Metazoa; Chordata; Amphibia; Anura; Pipidae
Source: Rfam
GGCUUGUUGGUCUAGUGGUAUGAUUCUCGCUUUGGGUUCGAGAGGUUCUGUGUUCAAAUCCCAGAUGAGCCC